Molecule: long non-coding RNA, 2544 nt
Organism: Lagenorhynchus albirostris (white-beaked dolphin)
Lineage: Eukaryota; Metazoa; Chordata; Mammalia; Artiodactyla; Delphinidae
Exons: 7
Source: RefSeq, a predicted model, not a curated record
UGAAACCAACACAGAAGAAAGGAGCUCUGAGAUGAUUGCAGAGAUGGAAAUGAAGUCUGAUGACAUUGAGCAUCUAGCCCCAGACACCUGGGCUAGACUUUGCAGUCACUUGACCCAACACAUGAAGGAGACAUGCUAUGUCCACCCGGAGGCCUGUACAGAAUCAUUCAUCCUGCAUCAUUCUGAGUAACCACCAUGAGAAACGACACAGGCAAGGUGUCAGCUGCUCUCUUUGUUGUGAAUGCAUUUCCCAGAAUCUGGCCUGAUGGAUACAAAAAGAAAAUUUGAUCCUCAUUCAAGAAGAUAUGCACCUCACCCCCAGAAGUGGGUCAGAAAAAUGGGCAUCCUGCCAUACCCCAAAGUGCACCCUACAAAUGAGUCAAUUGAAGACUCACCAAGAGAACAAAAGAACUAUGCAGGCAGUAUACAGCAUGAUCUGACCCUCAUAGCGUCGUCUUUUCUGUAUUUGCAGUUGGCCUCAAGAACCAGUGAAAAGGUCACUGCCGUAGACUCUGGCCCUGGGUCCACAUCAAGCAAACCUCCCUGAGUGAUUCCUGAACAGCAUCACCAAUGACUGACAGUCACUCUGCGUCCUUCCAGCUCUCCCCGAGGGCCUGGUGGAGGAGCUGCCCAGGGACAGGGCAGAGGAAGAGAGUCCAUUUAAUGCCAAGGUGGCCUCAGGGGUAACUGAAAAUGGUACGUACUCUGGAAUCAAUCAUUUGCUUGGGGAAAAAAUGCUGAUGAUAAGGAAGGUGGGCUUUGUUUGCUGGCUUUCAUCUGGAGAGCCACCCUGAUUCUGAAUUCCUGCUGGGAACAAGGGCUGAGGAUGUGAUGAAAGAAGCUGAUUUCCCAGGCAAAGAACCAUGGCUGUUUUUCAAGAAGCAGUUUCAUUGCCUUUAAGUGGUGACAGGUUGUGUGCAUAGCAGUGGGCUGUUGUCUGUGUGAUCUGGGUGGUGUGAUUCUGAGUGUGCAUGUGCACAUGUGUGUGUCUGUGUGUGUGUUUCCCUAGAUUGCCUCCAGCAAGGCAACUGCCAGUGUCAGCUUCUAAAUGAAAAAUCCCAUCGCUACUGUUUCAUGUGAUUAUAUCUGUUUCAAAAUGUAUCAAAUUGUACACUUAAAAUGUGUGCAGUUCUUGUAUGGCAGGAAUACCUCAAUAAGCUCAGGGGAAAAAUCCCAUCACCAGCGAGGCAAAUGUUCAUAGGGUUCCAAGUGGACAAAAGUGUGUUUCAGAAUCACUGUGAUUGAGUCAAUAACAACUUCUAUUAAUAAUUCUCACCUCCGUCGAGCCCUUUAUAGUGUCUUCAGGCAGUUUGAUUGGUGGUGAAUGAAAAGCAGCCAUCAUUGUCCUUAUUUCACAUAAGAGAAAACAGAGGCUGGAGAAGAUUACAGGCGGUCUCAGCAUUAAACCUCCCCCAUCUCGGCUAUGGUGCUGGGGCAGGGUUCCUUCCUUUAGCAGGAGCCCCGGGGGGAACCCACAUGUCAUUCCCGGUUCUGAAGGAAUCUGAGAAGGGAGCCUCCAGGAAGAGAUUCAGCCCAACUUUCACCAACUGAGAUCUCAUAUUUUGCUUCAGAAAAUGUUGCCAAGAGUAGCAAGUGCCAUUGUCGUGUGGAAAGUCAGAACCGUCACUAAUGCCAGGCCUAGUUUCUGUGUUCUGGGCAUGAAACACUGGACAGAGAUCUCCUUCAGGGACCGAGCGUCAGGAGCUCCCUUCCUGGGAGGAUGAAGGGGAGGUUACGCGUUGCGAGGUGGGGAAAGAGGAACUCAGCAGUGGGAUAGGAACUUCGCCACUCACGUCCCUGUCAAACCUGCCAGAGGAAAUAGGGUCUGGGUUUCUUCCGAAGCCUUAACAAGUCAAGGGAGUUAUUUCAAGUCAAUAUAAAAUGAGACAAAGUAGGGUUUGGGUUUCCUUUUGGAUCAUGAAUCUUGUGUGGAAUGGAUUGUAUUUUAAUAGAAUUUGAUAGUCCUGUAGGCAUCAGUAUUUUUCCCUACAAAACAAAAAGAUGAAACUGCUAGACUGAAAGAUGUCACUGGUCAGAUCAGCGGUGGAAAGGCUAGUAAACUACUCUGCAAGGAGCAAGCAGGGGACAGGUGGUCACAUCUUCCCCCUCUUUGGAUUCUAGAGCUGCACUGCCCAGUCUGGUAGCCACCAGCCGGAUGUACCUGUUCAUAUUUAAAUUAAUUAAAUUAAAUCAGAUUAAGCAUUUGUUCCUUCAUCACACUAGACACGUUUCAAGUGCCCAAGAGCCCUAUGUUCAUACAAAUGAACUUAUUUACAAAACAGAAACAGACUCGAAGACUUAGAGAAUGAACUUACCAUUAUGGAGGGAAGGGUGGGAUGGACGGAUAGUUAGGGAAUUUGGGAUCAACAUGCACACGCUGCUAUAUUUAAAACGGAUAACCAGCAAGGACCUACCAUAUAGCACAGGGAAAUCUGCUCAAUGUUACGUGGCAGGCUGGAUGGAAGGGGCGUCUGGGGGAGAAUGGAUACAUGUAUAUGUAUGGUUGAGUCACUUUGCUGUGCACCUGAAACUAUCACAACAUUG